UACGUAGGGGGCAAGCGUUGUCCGGAAUCAUUGGGCGUAAAGAGCGCGUAGGCGGCCCGGUAAGUCCGCUGUGAAAGUCAAAGGCUCAACCUCUGAAUGUCAGCGGAUACUGCCGGGCUAGAGUCCGGAAGAGGCGAGUGGAACUCCUGGUGUAGCGGUGGAAUGCGCAGAUAUCAGGAAGAACACCAACGGCGAAGGCAGCUCGCUGGGACGGAACUGACGCUGAGGCGCGAAAGCGUGGGGAGCAAACAGG
RNAcentral lists this ribosomal RNA (253 nucleotides) under uncultured bacterium. RNAcentral describes it as "partial 16S ribosomal RNA". It matches the Rfam family "Bacterial small subunit ribosomal RNA", at positions 524 to 776 of the family's 1533-position model. The record is from RNAcentral.